This 198-nucleotide long non-coding RNA is filed under the name Carassius auratus (goldfish). Its description in RNAcentral is "lncRNA (ENSCARG00000036012.1)". The record is from RNAcentral. Lineage: Eukaryota; Metazoa; Chordata; Actinopteri; Cypriniformes; Cyprinidae.
CACACAACUCACCCAACAACCAACAUGAAUCCUACAACUAUGACAGCUUCAAGACCUGUGACAGAUGUAGCUGAAACCCAUCCAGCUCAAACAUCAGCCACAAAGACUGUUAAUAGUGAAAUACACAGCACGGAUGAGAAAAACAAGUAUUUAAAGCAUUUCAAUCUGCAUUUGCUUGACACUGUAUCUCUAAAUUAA